Durio zibethinus is the source of this 1589-nucleotide non-coding RNA. NCBI's taxonomy places the organism in Eukaryota, Viridiplantae, Streptophyta, Magnoliopsida, Malvales, Malvaceae. The record is from RefSeq and is a predicted model, not a curated record.
UAUAUAACGUGAGGGGUUACUUCACCGCCCCACAAACUUCAGAGUGAAUUCAAUGGAUUCCGGUGAAAGUUUUCUCACGGAACAUCAGUCUCCUGUUGCUGCUACUAACUCUGAAGAAGUCCCCGAUCGUUUUGUUUGUUGCGUUUGUUUGGAUCUUCUUUACAAACCAAUCGUUCUGCAUUGUGGUCACAUAUCAUGUUUUUGGUGCGUUCAUAAAUCAAUGAGUUCUCGAUACGAGUCUCAUUGUCCAAUUUGUAGAAACCCAUAUUCUUGCUUUCCACGCAUUUGUCAAACGCUUCAGUUCUUGCUGUUGAAGUUAUAUCCCAUUGCAUAUAAGAAAAGGGAAGAUCAAAUUCUAGAAUUCAACGGUCAUGCACAUGAAGCAGAGGCUGGUGGAGAAUUUAAUUACCUCAGAAGUCCUGCACAUUCUUUUGCAUGUUCAGACUCUCCCUCUACUAGCAAAGAGAAACUUAGCAAACCAGCUGCACAAGUAGAGUCUCAUUAUAAUGGCACAACUUGGACCAAAGAAAAUUCUGAUGGAGAUCUUAAUCAGACAAAACCUAUUGCUGUGGAACAGAAGGAUCAGGUUUCAGUUGUGGAUUUGCUUUGUACUGCAUGCAAGCAAUGGCUUUUUUGUCCUGUUGUUCUUAACUGUGGCCAUGUUUAUUGUCAAACUUGCAUUAACAUCCCUGCUGAUACGAUGCUUAGAUGUCAAGUUUGUCAAUGUUUGCAUCCAAGGCAUUUUCCAGAAGUCUGCUUGACGCUUGAUCAGUUUUUGGUGGCUAAGUUUCCCAAAGAAUAUGCAUUGAGAAGAGACUCUGUUCAGCCCAAGCAAGUUUCUUCCAAGCAUGAGAGAGCAACCACCUGUUCCAUGGAAGCUGGUAAUCAAGACUUCUCACCUAUCCAGUUACCUUCAAAAGAUCAUCUGCCUUUCUCAGUGGAGCCUAGCGCAUAUACACAUAUAGGAGUUGGUUGUGAUGCUUGUGGGCAGAUGUCUCCAAUUGUUGGAGAUAGAUACAAAUGCAAGGAUUGUAUAGAGAAAGCAGGCUUUGACCUUUGUGGAGAUUGUUAUAAUACUCGACCUAAGCUUCCAGGCAGGUUCAAUCAGAGACACACCCCAGAGCACAAGUUUAAGCUUAUCAAGCGUGACUUUGUCUGAAGGUUGAGGCUGAUGACUGAACAACUAGAGAAUGUUUCUACUUCUUUUGUCAUCUUUGAUCAUGCCGCUGAAAAUUUGGGAAGUGCACCGGUACCUGUUGCUUUAUCUGGUGAUUCGCAGGACAAUACUAGCAAUAAUUUAGCUUCUCCGUUUAUUGACAAUGAUAGCAUGGAGGACCAAGAUGAUAUCCUAUUCACCAAUUGAAUACUGAAGCCGAAAAAAAUCCAUACAGUGAUUAUCUGGUGAUACAGACUGGUGGAUUACUUAUGGAUCAUGGUUCCUUAAGUAGUUCUGCAAAUUGGGGCUCCAAGAGGCAAGCUGCCUUUGGUAUGUGACUGCUCAACAACCUCUCUUGUCUGAAGCUGGGGUUUGUUUGUGAUUAAGUGACCUGAACCAUUUUUUCCAUGGUAUGUCAACCAACAUGUUUUCU